AGGAGCAGAGGGACCCUGAAGAUCUGCUGGAAGGGGGAACCCAUAGGAAGCCAUAGGGUUCAGAACUCCUUGUAGACGUUGGCAGCUAAGAUUAACAAAACUCUGGUGUAUGGGCUUGUGCUGACAACACGGGGGCCGGAAAACCAGAGGAGCCAUUCUUCCAAUGUCACAGCUGGAGAGGGGACAGCUCCUGGAUGACAGUGAGUAGGAUACGGGGAUACUGCUCAACAUCCUACCAUGCACAGCAGUCCCUCUACAACAAGACAUCAUCGAGCCCAAAAUAUCAAUAGUGAUGAGGUUGAGGACGUGCUGCAAAGCUAAACUACCACUGUGAUACCAGACACGACACUGCUCAACACGAAAGGAAAGACACUGGAGCUUUUAAAAGCAAAGGCCCAUCAGUUCUAACUAUGAAUACUUCAUAUUGACAGUUCUUUACUGGAUGCUAUCAUAGCAAAUGACACCAGCACAGACUCCUUAGUACCCACUAGAGACAGAGGAACAGGGCUAGGGUGGAGAUACACACUCCUAUCCACUGGUUUACUCCUCAAAUGCCUGCAAAUGUCAUGGCUGGCUUGGGAUGAAGCCAGGAGCUGGAAAUUCCUGGGUCUGCCUCAUGCAGAACAAGAGCCUGAUGAAAAGUGCCACCCCUGCUGCCUUCUGAAGUCUAGAGUCUGGAGCUGAAGCUUGGCAUCAAAUCUAAACAUGCUGAUGUGGGA
This is a long non-coding RNA of Ochotona princeps (American pika), 719 nucleotides long. RefSeq lists it as uncharacterized. The transcript is spliced from 3 exons. Lineage: Eukaryota; Metazoa; Chordata; Mammalia; Lagomorpha; Ochotonidae. The record is from RefSeq and is a predicted model, not a curated record.